Molecule: ribosomal RNA, 301 nt
Filed under: uncultured bacterium
Lineage: Bacteria
Description: partial 16S ribosomal RNA
Rfam family: Bacterial small subunit ribosomal RNA
Source: RNAcentral
CAGUCGCCGCGGUAAUACGUAGGUGGCAAGCGUUGUCCGGAAUUAUUGGGCGUAAAGCGCGCGCAGGCGGAUAGGUCAGUCUGUCUUAAAAGUCCGGGGCUUAACCCCGUGAUGGGAUGGAAACUGCCAAUCUAGAGUAUCGGAGAGGAAAGUGGAAUUCCUAGUGUAGCGGUGAAAUGCGUAGAUAUUAGGAAGAACACCAGUGGCGAAGGCGACUUUCUGGACGAAAACUGACGCCGAGGCGCGAAAGCCAGGGGAGCGAACGGGAUUAGAUACCCCUGUAGUCCCUGUCUCUUAUACA